Molecule: RNA transcript, 2293 nt
Organism: Triticum aestivum (bread wheat)
Lineage: Eukaryota; Viridiplantae; Streptophyta; Magnoliopsida; Poales; Poaceae
Gene name: protein ROOT PRIMORDIUM DEFECTIVE 1
Exons: 3
Source: RefSeq, a predicted model, not a curated record
CAGGCCCAUCGUUUAGCGGCUUCACGCCGCACAGCGCACCGCCGCCGAGCCCCCGACGCCGAUGACGCUGCUGCACGCGCGCGGCAAGACCACCGCGGCGCAGCACGUGGCGGCGCGGCACCUCGACCACACGUUCGAGAAGCUCGUGGCCUCCACCCUCCCGCUCGUGGCGGCGUCGCCGCUGCUCGAUGCGCUCCGGGCAUCGCCCGAGCCGCUCGCGCUCCCGGACCUCGCCCGCCGCCUCCCUCUCCGCCUCCACCGCCGCGGCCCGCUCCACUUCCUCCGCCUCUUCCCGCGCGUUUUCGACCUCCGCCCCCCUCUCCCGCUCUCCCUAUCGCUGACCGCGCCUGCCGCCUCACUCCUUGCCGUCGCAUCCUCUCCCGACGCCGCCGCGCGGACGCUCCACCGCCUCCUCGCCAUGUCCACAUCCCGCUCCGUUCCUCUCCGUGCCGUGUUCCGCGUCUGGCGCGAGCUCGCUCUACCCGACGACUUCGAGGACUCCGUCGUCGCGCAGCAUCCCCACCUCUUCCGCCUCGCCCCCAACCCCGCCGAGCCUAGAACCCACGUUCUACACCUCGUCGCAGAUCCGGCGAAGGAGGAGUUCACUCCGGCGGUGGAUAAGAAGCGGCCGGAGAAGUACGCUUUCCGGCUGCAGUUCCCGCCGGGGUUCAGGCUGGCCAAGGAGUAUCGGAAGAAGGUGAAGGAGUGGCAGCUGCUGCCAUAUGUUGGGCCGUACGAGGUAGUGGAUCAGAAGGUUGGCGCGAGCAAGAGAGUAUCGAAGAUGGCGAGGAGGAAGAUGGAGAAGAGGGCAGCCGGAAUAGCACACGAGUUUCUGAGCUUGACCGUGGAGAAGAUGGUAGAGGUGGAGAAGUUCAGCCAGUUCCGGAAGUGGUUUGGGAUCGACGUGAAUGUCAGGGACGUAUUCUUGGAUCACCCUGGGAUAUUUUACCUCUCGGCGAAGGGAAAGCGGCAUACAGUGUUCCUGCGGGAAGCAUAUGAUCGUGGCAAGCUUGUUGAGCCUAAUGAUGUUUCAGAGGCGCGAAGAAAGCUUGUUGAGCUCAUGCUCUUGCGUCGCCAUGGCCUUGGGAACGCCAAUUCAAAUGCCAAUAUGUCUUCAAGUGCCAAUGCUGAUGCCAAAGAGAGCGAUGACGAUUUACAGGAACUGGAGCUCUAGUAGUGUGAUGUAUCUGUGAAGCUGCAGGACGGGACAACAAGGAGGUUGUGCAAUUCAUGGAUAUCCUGGUUUAGCGUAACCUGUUAAGCAGGUGUUAGCCCAACUUGGAUGGCAAAUAUGUUAGUGGUGCAGAUCCGUAUUGAUGAUGACGAUGGAUGUUUCUUCAGGGAUGGUAGUCAAUUGGCAUUAUAUGCUAGCCAGUAUACUCAAAACUCAGAUUACGUCUCCCUGAGCUAGGCAUGUCUGUAGGUCAAGAGUGAAGUUCAGUAGCACUUAGCUGAUCGGUUUAUGCUGUAACUCCGAGGAAAAGCUUUAGAUAUGAAGGGCCUUGACUCUUAUAUGAAUUGUCAAAUACUCCCUCCGUAAAGAGGGGGUACUACCUGGUUUCUCUGGGGAUGGUCUGAACUGAAGCCAGUUUACAGAAACCAAUGAGUUCGUCAGUGUUACUGAUACUGACAGUUCUGAGCUGAAGGAGCUCAACAGGGGUGCAAAUCAUGGUAUUCCUGAUGCUUUGGAGAGGGCUACGGACAAAAUGCAGCUAUUCUUGAAGAGACAAAAGUUGUAGUUUUGCACAAUUAGCUGUGUUAUUCAGUUGUCAGUCUACCAGUUCAUUAUCUCAACUUAUAAAUUUGGACUCUGGCCAGGCUAUUACUGCUGAGCUUUAAUGUCGGGGUGUGAGAUCAGGUUAUCCUGGUAAUAUCUGCAUUUAAGCUGACAGGAAGAAUUCAACCAGCCUCUAACACUAUUCUCAAGUUUGUAACAACAUAUCUUUUGUUGGCUCAAGGCUAAUUUGACAUGGAGGGUGGCGAUUCUGUGCAAAAACCUAGAAGUCUGUCCAACUGAAACUACAUACAGGGGCAACACGGCUGCAGGGUUAGAAGGGAGUAAGGAUGUUCAGAAGUGAAACUCUAGACUGCAGCAGUCUUCUGAAAACCUUCUCACUUCCGGUCUCCAGCCCACCAAUGGAUUCCUCUAGCUUCUCUAGCCUCUCCAACGCCACCAUCGCUGUCUCUGGUGCUGCCUUCUUGGCGGACGGCCUGACACUCAGCCUGGCCAGCCACUUGUUUGAAGGCACUUGCAUGUCCGGUGACAUUGCUGCACACUCCAUGAAGAUGGUCU